Long non-coding RNA from Numida meleagris (helmeted guineafowl), 15391 nucleotides. RefSeq lists it as uncharacterized. NCBI's taxonomy places the organism in Eukaryota, Metazoa, Chordata, Aves, Galliformes, Numididae. The record is from RefSeq and is a predicted model, not a curated record. The transcript is spliced from 8 exons.
CCUCCCCCCGCUGCCAGCAGCGUUCGGGGUAAACAAGGUGAAGCAGCCUGGGGGUGUUCAGCAGUCUGAUUCUGCCUCUCGGGGGGUUGCCCUUGCGGUUGGGGGUGAGAUGUUAACUAAUUAAUUGUAAUUAACAGUAACUUCCAAACUCGAGAAGGAAUCGACCCUCCGGAAGAGUCCGGAUGCCGGCUUAGGGCUGCGCGUCCUUAGAGCAGCGGCAGCUGCAGCCGGGUGGAAGGGGUGCUCCCAGCUCCGGGCUUGCCUUCAGCCAUCCCGAAAUUAACACGGCGCCGGGGAGCAGAGGGAAAGUUUCCCAGCACUAACUGGAGCCACUGGCCCUAACAGAUCUGCAGAGAGUCCCCAGAGCCUCCAAGCCUAGAAGAAGAAAUGAGUGAAAGGAGAUGGAUGAAAACAUCUAGAUCACUCUAAGACUCCUGUUGGAAACUCAUGAUUUUUAAUGGAAUCUAAAGCAGUGAUUCAUGGUGGAAGGGGAUACGCUUGCCAUAAAUCAUCUGCUUUUGCAUAUAUGGACUCUGUGUGGACAGGAUCCAACCCUUCGCCCAAAGCUGACAGCAGUCUUUCUUCCAUUGAUGUCAAUGAGCUUAGAUCAGAGCAUGAGUCUUGUGAUCAAAGACAGUUCUACAUAAAAAAAAAAAGACUUCCUUUUCCAGGGCUUCCAACCUCCUUUUAGCUGCAUGAAAGUACCUGUAGGAAAAGCACACCCUCAUCACAUGUAAUAGUGGCAUACUUUUAUAUUUGCUGCAUUUUAAGUCAUGCUAUUAUUAUUGAGAGAAAAACAAACAAAAAAUUGAUGUUUUUUUUUUCUUUUGAAUGAGCCAAAUGAGUAGAGCACAUCCAUGGGUGUAAGAUCAAGAAGAGGAAUGCUAAGUUUUCACAUUCUGGGAAAUCCCUUAUAUGCAAAAGGAGCUAUGAGAUAUAAUGACUAGUUGUUCCUAACCUUUUGGAAUUGAACAGACUCACAUGAACUCUGAGUUGCCCUUAAGGUCUCCCUUCUUUUAGGGAGAUACAAUGCCCAUUUGUCUCUUCAGGAAAGAGUUGCCAUGGGAAGUUAUUUUCUAGACAAGUAUACAACCUGAACCUGGUUUCUUUUAGGCCAUGUUUUGCUAAACCUCAUUUGCACUCAUCAGCAUGAAGCUGAUAGAGGCAAAUAUGAGAAGAAAACCUGACAACUGGAUGUGUUUCUAGGAGAAGUUUCUCCAAAACCUCAUUGCAAUUUUGCAUUGCCAGGUUUUUGGGCAGCACUGAAAAAUGGGCAGGUUCACUAAACAGAGCUGAAAUGAAGCACCAUCCCUAUCAUUCACAAAAUAGAAGAUACUCCCCUUAGUCAACUUUGUAUCCCAUUCCUCACUCAGAAAUGUUUUUAUUUUAUUUACUUUAAAAUAGAUGUUAAUACAGUUUGCACAGUUGCGUUCACAGAUGUUAAGGCUGUAAGCCAUCUUAUGACCAAUUCUGACUCUUCAUCAUGGGUCAUGAGCUCACCUGCAACUGAUUCCCACUUGAACAAGAGAAGGGCUUGAGAAAGACUAGAAAAGGCAUUCAAUUCUAUCUAUCACAUUGUAUUGUAAAUGAUUGCAGUUGUUACCUAUCCUUAAUGCAACUAAAAUUAUGUGCCUUCAGCUUUCUAUUGGAUUUCCUUGUAUAUUUUUCUACCACAGUGAAAUGUCCCCUAUUAGGCAGUGUCUGUUCCACAUGAAAGCACUUACAAACCAUAAUCAAGUUAUUCUUUAGCUUUUACUGUGAUAUACUAAAUCUAAAAAGACUUACACGGUGGAUUUGCUUCAUUUUACAACCUUAAAUUUUUUUUCAUUCAUAUCCUCAUGGUUCUUCUCAGAACUACCUCUAGUUUGCCAACAUCCUUCUUAAGUUGCUGACAUCACUGCUGACAUUAUUCCAGUAGCUUUCACCAAUGCCAAACACUGAAGUAAUACAAGCUCUCGAUUCCCCUUGAUACUAUCCUCUACACAUAGGAGAAGAUUACAUUGGCCCUUUUUUGAAGCUCAAUUUCAGAGUGUGCUUGGGUUCAGCUAGUUGUCUACCAGGAUCCCCUGUUCAUUUUCCAGUUUCAUUUGCCUAAAGAAGAACCCAUCUCAUGUAACAGCCUGUGAUUUUUGUUCCUAAAUGGAUACUUUACAUUGAGUUACAUGCUAGAUGCAUGCUCUCUUUCGCAUCUCCUCUUCAAGCAAUGUCUAAAAGGCCUUCAUCAAAAAAUGCCCACUUCCAGAUUGUGGUUUGUUAAAAAAUAUUACUUGCAUUGGCAUUACUUUAUCCUGCACUGCCAAUAGCAUUAUUAAUGAGCGCAAAGCUGAUAAGAAGUUUCAGCAGAACCCAGUCUCAUAUUCCCACAUUACCUUGGCCUGAUAGAUUUAGAAUUACCUUGUUUGAAAACAGUUUGGUUUGACAUGUGUGGUCAUCGUAUUUGUUCUUAUUUCUGACAGUCUCUUGUGAUACUGUAUGACAAACACACUCAAAGUCGAAAUAUACGAUAUUACCGCAAUUGCUUUUAUCCACCAAAUUUGUACUCUCAUAAAAAUAGCAUAUUAAUUUGAUAAGAUCUUUCUUCCAUUAAUCUGUGUUGAUUGCUAUUAAUUAAAUUGCACUGUUUUAAUACUUUAUUAAUUGACUUUCCUAUCAGCAGCUCCAUCACUCUGCCUGGAAUAGACAUCAAACUGACAGGCCUAUAAUUACCUGGUUGUCCUAUUUUGUCUGUAGAAUUAUCUGUAAAAUACUAACUUUCUUCCAGUCUUUCCUCAGGAAGAUGUUGUUUUUAGCCAGUGUGGGCUUCUUUCUUAAUUCUUCUUAAUUCCUUUUUGAGGAUCUAGUUAAAUUUUUCUGAGUUGCUCUAAAUAAUUAUUCACAUUUUUGUUGGUUUAAAUUUUCUUCUCCAGUCUGACUGGUACAUCCCUUACUUGGUUUUAGCUUUGGGGAAAUGGAUCUUACAAGGCAAAAGCAUAAAUUUUGCUGGUUAAGACUUUAGGCUGCUUACAUGUAUAGCAUGUAAAGUGCAUUUAAAAGGCACAUAAAUAUAAAACCAAGUCAUUACCGCUUCCACCAAAGCAAACUUUAGAUUUUGUGGUUAAUAUUUCCUUGUGAGGAUGAGGUCUAAUGCAGAAGUUUCCCAUGCCAGAUACAGCUCUUUUUGAGUCAGGAAGUUGUUUUGUGUAUUUUUUCUUGAAAAUCCAAGAAUGCUUUAGUACUUGCAUCAUGAGACAUCCCUUUGCUCUCCCUUCAGAUUUAUCUUGCCAAGACUGAAAAUGCCAUAUAUAGUGAAAGGCUUUUAAAAGGCUAAUCUGGAAGGUCACCCUACACCCAGAGGUAGAGCUGGUUAGACGAACCAGUUCUUGGUCAUUUGAAAUAAAGCCUUCAUGGUAUACAAGCAGAAUUACCAUGCUGCUGGCACUGGAAACUAAAGUCCAUAAGAAUACUAAAACCAGAGUAGUAUUCCUUGAGUGCUGGCCUGGUUUUCAUCAGAACAUAUUAGCAAGAGAGAGUUACUGUCCGUCAUGCUUCUGGCUCAGUGCUGUGUUGCUACUGCCCAGGUGUGUCCUAGCUUUGAAAAGAUAAGCAUCAGAUCUGCCAUAAUUUGGGAGGAAAAAAAAAAAAGGAUGAGAUCAUUUCAUUGUCCGUCUGCAUCUGUGCUUUGGCUGCAGGUAGUAGAGGUCCCUUUCAGGUCCCAUGGAGCAUGAAGACUCGUAGCUCUGCAGGCACCAGCCCAUGCCUCUUUGUUUGCAGAGUGCUUCCUGUUUGGAUUUCCAUGAGCAUUUUUUUUUUUACUCUUCACUUGCUUAAGUGAUGAUUCAACCGGACAAAAGGUAUGGGUUGUUUGUCACCUUCAAGGAGAGAUGUACAGAGAUGUUAAAAAACAUAGGAGAGACUGUGCAAAGCCAGACCAAUGGUCCAUCUAGCCCAGUAUUCUCUCUGUGACAUGCAGCAACAGCAAACAUUCACAGGAAGGGAUAACAGUGCAGGCAUAUGAUGAUACUCCCUCAAAGCAGGCCCCUUCCCUGAUGAUUUUCACACUGAACCAGCAGCAAUGCCUUUCUGUUUGAUAUCCAUCAGUGGCAUUUUCUUCAGUGAAUUCUUCUGAUUUGCUUUUGAGCCCUCAUAUUCUCUUAGCAACCGCAGCAUCCUGUGGCCAGGCAUUCCAUAACUUAAUUGUAUAUAUGAAGAAGUAACUCUUUGUUUCAACCUCUGUCAUUCAAGCCUCCUAAUUUCAUUUGAUACCCCCUUGUUACUGUGCUAGAGGAGGCAGCAAACAGUAAUUCUGUACUUACUUUCUCCCUGCCAUUCAUGAUUUUAUAGACCCUAUAUUAUAUCCCAUCUCUUUUCCCAGCUGAAGAAUCUCAGUCUUUUCAGUAAUUCUUUUUAUGAAAAAUCUCAUUUCACUGUUCCUUUUCUACUUCUGUUAUAUCCUUUGGGAAGGGAAACCAGAAUCCCACGCAGUAUUUAGGAUGCAGCAGUAUUAUGGAUUUAUAGUGACACAGUUUGCUUCUAAAUUGUUCUGUAUCUAACAGUUGUUGAUGUUGACUUGUUUUUCUCACCACUGCUAAUUGUUCUGCUGAAUAUGACGAUCUGUGUCUAUGGAGGUGUGUCAUGACUCCAAGAUCUCUCUGUCCCCUCUGUGAUUAAGUCCAGAUCAGAGCUCAUUGCUGGGUCAUGUUUUUAGAGUUAUUUAUCCCCCAGUGUGAACUGCUUUGCAUUUAUCAACAUUGGUUUGCCUCUACCAUUUUAUUACCCAGUAGUUCAAUAGCAUAAGACAUUUUUGCAGCUCUUCACAUUCAGGUUUUGUUUUUAUGACACCACAUGAGCAAACAUUGCAGACAUUAUUUAUUUGUUCUCAUUUUCUAAUCAUUUUGAAAACAGCAUACAGAACAAUGUAUGUGUUAGGUAUUCAGAAGGGGUAACAGCUGGCAUCACAGGGUAAUCCCAGAACCAAACACCAGGGCAGAUAUGGAUUCAGCUUCUCGAAAAGAGAGAGAAGGAGCUCUGAAGAGAGAGUUCAGCCUUCUUAUUGGCCUUUUGGAGCUUCAGAGAUAGCCUUGACUCCUUCUCUUCUCUUGAAGAAAGUUGAAGUGUGUCACUGAGGUACCUGAACUGACAUCAGAGUCACGUUGGGCUUCAUCAGUAGACAACAAUGGUGUUCAGUGAGGGCAAGCCAAAUCCUAGGUGAGCUAAAAUGAAGUUCUCAGUCUCUUUCCAUCAACCAGAAGAGAAAAUUCUCCAUUCUUAAGCAUUCAACUGGGAAAUUUACAGCAAGAUGGGAUAGAUCCAGACUUCAGUGUGUAGGCUUUUCUGGUGAAUUGCAGACUGUGCAAUUUUACAAGCACGGGGAAAGCAGAGUUAUAAGGUAUCACCUAAGCUGGAACACUGACUAUUUGAAGCAUGUUAUAGCUGAUCUAUAAUUCACAUGCUUAUUUUGACAGGCCAGCUCUUGUUAGUUUUCAAUGGGCGUGGGAGGAAAUAGCAGCGCAUAAAACUUGCACAUUACUAAUACCAUUGCCAUAUAAAACAAAUAUUUGAAUAGGAAGUUUCAGAAAUGAUUCAGUGCUCUAGCUACAGAGUAUCCUACAGGAUUUUUUUUAUAGUAACAGAAUUAAUGAAAAGCAAAUCCUGUUUCUCUACCAUGGGCAUAGGGUGGUCCCAGUGCAGCAGAGCCAGUGUGAUACUGUGUCUCAGGGAUAGAAAAAGCAGCCUCUACAGAUUGCUGGCCCCUUGGGUGAGCAAAGCUUGCUUUGAAAGAACUCCUUGAGCUGAGGGGUUGCUAUAUGCUUUUUAAGUGACUCUACCACAUCGUGUGUGGGUGCAGCAGACAGGGGCUAAAAGCCCCAGGCUGCAAUACAGAAGCAAUUGAAAAGCCACUCUGUUGUUGCUGUUCCGCUGACUGCAAAGGAAAACUCACUUACCACCCCUACAAACUAUUCUAACCACAUCCUUUGAAGGUACUGAAGUUAUUUCACUCACUUAACUCAAAGUUUUCUCAACAUUAAGUCAUAACUUGAAAGCUGCAGGAAGAGGAGACAAUUGUUACGUCAGUAACAACAUUUCAUUCAGAUGCUUUCAUAAGUGGAGGAUUUCUAGGUGCUAAAAUGUGAUAUGACCACCAAACAGAGAAUCCAAAAUAUCACCUUAAAAAUAACCUCCUUCACAACAUAACUUUUUAGUUCACCGGAAACAAUUUGCAGGAAGUUUAGUUCCAGAUCUCCUAUCAGAAAUACAGCUCUUCCACUGCACAGUGCUCUCAGAUUGCACAUAGGAUCAGCCUGCAAACAGUUUGGGGGAGAAAAAUUGCCUCCGUCUUGUGUCUCAUGUCUUGUGUCUUGUAUCUUGUGCAUACUUCAUCACAAAAUUUCUUGGGAAUCUCUCAUUUUGUAUAUUGGAUCCCUAAUUAGAGGGAUCUAAAAAUUAGAGAAAAAAAACACUUCAUUAGCUCCUGGAGAAUUGAGAUUGCUUCUGAUGAAACAGUGAAAGGGGAUGUGUGCACCCAUGAAGCUGAGACACAUUUUACUAAUCUCUGGCAGCCCUUUGACAACCUCUGCUGUGUGCAAUAAUGCAACAUUGUCUGUGAUCUUCAACAAUGUGAUCAAGGAAUUUUCUUUUUUUUUCAAUUUUCAGUUACUUUUAUAAUGUUGAUGAGUAUAUAAUAGGUUUUUGACUCUGGAAAAUCCACCUCAGACUGGGAAAUCCCUUUUAUCUUUCUGAUAUAUGGAAAAGCCUGUGUCUCUUAUCUAUGCUUUGUUCCUAGAAUCAUUUUUAGAUUGAAAUGUAGUAUACUACUAUUUUUUACUUGCAUCUAUUUUAAUGAUCACAUAUAUGUGAUACUGCAACAGGUGGGGUUAUUUAUACACAUGGAAAAAAGAUUUUAUAUCUGUAAGUUGUUCAAGAUCUUAAAAUAACUUGUGUACUACAGGAAUCCUUUCUGUUAACCUUAGAAAAGGGUGGAGGUGUGGGGAGGAAAUGAACAUAAAGUCAUUUUAUUUCUCUCUCACAAGACAUGAAUGAAUAACUGUUGUCAUCUGAUCUUCCAAUGUUGAUCCCCUGUCUGCGACUUUUGAGCAUUUUGCAUUACUUGUUUCCCUAGCUUCCUCAGCUAAGGUGGGUAAAGGAAUAUUACGCAGAGGGAUGAUAUCAUUUUAUGCAUACGAAAUGUAAUAGACUUGAGAAAUGUAUUUUUUCUUUUCUUGAUUGGUAGGUAUGUGGAAAUAAAUGGAAAUAAUUCUAAAAUAAAAGCAAAGAGCUGUCCCUUAAACUCGAAAGUUUGUAACAUCCUCCAGUGGUGAUGCAACAGCCAGUAAGACUGACUGAGUAGCCAAGUGUAAUUCUGAUCCCUGCACUUUGCCAGGCUGUGACACUGGCAGAUUUCCAGAAUAAGCCAAUUUCAGAACUAUGGAGCCUCCAAAUAUGAUCUUCUGUCAGUCACAGGGAUUUCAGCUCCAGGAAAGGAAAGAUUGAUCCAGCAGAUUAUAAUCACCACUGUACGAGACAGUGAAAGCAGCGAACUUCCCUGUAGUGGGAUGCCAGCUACUGUGGGACUCAUCAUCACCUUCAGCUGUGCUGGGAAGUUGUGGUGACUUAGCUCAGGUAUCACUGUGUCUCAUCCUGCUCCAGUGAUGCAAGUUGCUGUUUUUUUAAUAGAUGCUACAGUGGCAACUCCCAGUCCACACUGAAACAACCAAAUGCUUCAGAGUUUCCAGAGUCAUCCUCAUUUUGGCCUUUCACUUCCCAUAAAAAGAGAAAUAAACAGUGAAACUGAGGAUCACACUUCCUCUCAAGGCACACCUGAUUUUUGGACUCUUGCUGUAGGACAAAGCAGCCAUCCCUGGACCAGCUCCUGGGGAAUGCUCUGCCCUCCCUGUGUCAUUGUGAGGUAGCAACUGCGCACCUCCUGACUAAGGCCCACGACAUGUCGCAGUCAUUGUGGAUUCACAGAACUAGGAGGUGCAGUAGCACCUCACAGCUCCCGUGUGGUUUCCCUCUCACGUGGGACACAGAACAGGGCCAGCAUGCAGCAAGAGGGGAUUUUGGACAAAGGACAUAAAUUACCAAGACAAGUUCCUCAGUGCUAAGGAUGGGGCCAGCACCAGAUUGCUGCCUGAAAUUAAAUAACUUUGAUAGACCAGCUAUAACAAACAAAUUGACCUGAAUGUAUUUGCCUCAAAGCAAUGAGAUGACUCUAUCAGUUUUCCGUUCAGAGGGAAAGAUAAAAACUGCUCACACAUCAGGAGACGUCCCCUCUUUUCUUCCCGUCUCUCGUCCCAGCAGCAUCUCGCUCCUCAGCUGUCUCACCAUCGGCAUUAGAGGCGUGGGUCCGUGUGUCUCCUGCCCCAAUAGUCACGGAACCAGGCCGAACGAGCCCUUAAACCGUUGACAGUAUGUAACAUCAUAUUGACGUUGUGAAGGGUAGACCUGGUUAAAUGUCUGCAGGAUCUGGGGCCUUGUGUAUCUUGGAUUCUCUUGCAGGAAUCAGAUCCAUCAAAGGAGAAGGGCCUUCCUGGUUAUUGAAGUGAAUUGGAUAAGACGUGGAAAAACACAACUGUUAUCUGGUGCCUGCUUGCCUCCGAACAGAAAUGCUCUUUCCUGGUCAGAGCAGAAGUCAAACAUCAUGAAAAUUUCUCCAUAAAUAUUGUCUUGGAUUUUAGAAGACCUAUUUGUGAAGGACUCACGUGUCUGUUUUAAGUGCCUUUUUUAUAGUUUUCACUGAAUGGUAUUACAAGCCCUGCUAAUCAUGAAAUCAGUAAUGGAGGUUUUAGUUCAGCCAUAUCCAUCACCUAGAUACCACCACCCCUAUCUGCCUUCCUGACUUUAUUUAUUUAUUUAUUGCAAGUGCAUUCAGUUGCAAGAGAGACCUAAAUCCCUGGAGCAGUAAUGUCCGUCAUGGUCACAGGACAGAAAUUUAUAAUAGACAAAUUUAUAGGCAAUCAAAUUAGACCUACAGUUAGAAUUUCUAGAAAAUGAUGAAAUAUUAUGUGACAAUAAACAGUAAACUAAGAUACAGUUAUUAACUGAGUUCAGCUAAAAUUGCAGGACUAGCGUAGCCCUUACCCACAGCUCAGUGAAAUUACACAAGUGAGACAAUAGCUGAGAAAUAGAUCACCCAAUAUUGACAAGGCACGAAUGCAUAUUAAAAUGUAUGCAAUGGUUGGCACACUUCUGCUUUGCAUUUUGGAUGCUCUGAUGUGUAAUCACUUUGUACCUUUAUACCCAGUGGGAAUAAUUAACAUCAUAUUUCUGAUGUAACCCAUUCCAUGUUUUCAAAACACUUAUAGCAACACUAUAACUUUGAAGUUUCUAUUUCUCUGAAAUUGUCCAGGAAGUUCAAAACUGAUUUCUAAAGACAAGCAGGUAGAAUAGCAAGACUGAUGGACAGGUAAGUGCAUCAUGGUCAUGUAGGCACCUCUAACUUAGAAAGCUAGAUUUAAAAACAGAAAAGCUAUUAAAUAAAUAAUAAUAUUUUUCCAGCAGUUUUAUAGCUUUAAAGAAGUACACAAUUAUUCUUAUUUUUGAAAACAUUUUACUUAGUAAUACCUUAAAAUUGUACCUGAAAGAAAUAGCUUUCAAAAAGGCUGAUAGCCUUUUUCAGGCUUUCAAAAGCCUGAUAAAGAUGGUGUUUAAAAGCUUGUUGCUAAAAUACUGUAUAAUCUGGCCAUACUUACACCAGUGCAAUCAUUAUCUCUUAAAUGUUUGAAUGAAGGAUUCUUUGGCAAACAAGCACCUGAUGUUUCCUUAAAAAAACUAAGCAUAUUAAACACCAGAGGUUUGGGGUACCUCUGUGUUUAUAGACUACAAGCCCAUCGCUCUCUCAUGUAUGUAACUUUAGUUCAGCAUGUGGAAAAUUGAGUUUGUUUGCUUCUGUGAGUCUGGCCCUUUUUUAUCUCCCAGUCUCAUCAUAGAUUCUGCAAGAAGUUGUUGAUGGACGAAGAAAGAAAUUGUAAGUAACUGUAAUCCAAGAAGCUGGGACUGUAAAAACGAUUUUCCUCAGUUACAAUUUUAUUAAAUAACUAAAAUGCUCUUCACUUGAGACCAGAAGAAAUUUUUUUAGGCUUAUACAUACUAUCGUUGGAGCUUUAGAGGGAAAUCAAAGAACCUUUCAUAUUUUCAGCUGAGUACAACAGUGAGUGAUGAGGCCAAGCGUUUCAAAGUAAGGUUUUCAAAUACAGAUUAUUCCAUUCAUAUGCAACACCUCUGUGAGAAACAUGGUCCUCAGAAAAGAUGAAUACCUCUCUCUCUCAUAAAAACAUUCAGACUAUCAGAUAUUAAGACUGUAAGGCUUUACAUUAUAGGAUCUUCCAGCAAAUCUAUGUAACAAUUUCAGAAAGUGUUUUGGUUGCUGUUACCAACAUUAGCAUUACUGCCGCAAAUGCACUGCUACUCUUGCCUCUCACACAGGAGUAGAUAUAAGAUCCCCAUUUGAAAAUCUUCAGAAAAAGAAGAUAGAACAGAAAAACAAUGAUAAGAGAGAACAUGCCUUGCAUGUAGCUGUAUAAAUGCCACUGUGUGGCAUUUAUAUAUUUAUAUAUAUUUAUAUAUUUAUAUAUAUAUAUAUAUAUAUAUAUAAUGGUAGCUGGGCUAUCACAGCAUAACCCUAGAAACCAAACACACACCUUGUGAAAGCUUGUGCUGCUAAGUUGCAGGGCUGAUCUGGCCUCACGCGGAGUGUGUAAUUCACUGCCAGUUCACGGUGCAUAAAUUUGUACUAUCAUAAUCUUCUAGGAAAAACUAUGACGCAAUCUCUGGUUUUACACUGUUAUUUAAUGGUAUCACAAAGGAAUGUAUUCACCAUAAGUAAAACUGUCACCCACAUUAAAAGCCUAUGCAAGCUAUAUGAGGGCUAUCAUUUACUUCAAGAAGGAGAUAUUUGCCCUUCGUGCUGGAGCAAUGUCUGGAAACUCCUCAUUUAUAUUAAUAAUUGAAGGAAUCUAAUUCAAGCAAGUCAUACUCAAUUUUCAUACAAUUUAAGAUUAUGAUAGCUGCAAUUUCAGUACUUUCAAUUAGGCAUGUGUUUAUCUGGAAUAUAGCUGUGUGCAGUUAUUUCCUUCAUUGUUACGAUGUGUUUGUGCAUCAAGAGUUAUGGUGGUUUCACACACCCUAUUUUCCCUCUUUAAGUCUACAUCUGUGUGUCUCCUUAAGAAUAUUGACUAACUACAAGGCCAGUAAAUUGUUAAGAAAAUAUUUAGUCACUUUUAUGAAUUAUAAGGUCUGGAGCCAAAUUCUGUAGCUAUUUGAAACACACAGGUUCAUGCUACUGUAAGCCAUCCCCAUGAGUUCAGUGCUACUAUUCACGUUUGUGCAAAUCCCCCAUGUGCAUGCAUUUGCAGUAUCAUGGCUUUAAAUAACAUCUUUGUCACACAUUAAAGAAAGCAAACUUUUUCAACCUACAUACUUAUAUCAAUCUUAAAAGAAUAUAGUGUUUUAAAGGAAAAAUUAACACCAGACAUUCAAGGAUUCCAAAAUUUCUGCACACUGCUAAAAUGCAGAAAGAUAAAGGAAUAAGUAUUCAUGUUUUUCUGUUUCAGUGCAAGCACAAACUCUUUUUGAGUGCAUGUUGCAGUUGUUUAUGCUCUGAAGAGAGCAAUAUUUUUAGCCUUACCACUUAAAGUACUGGGAUAUAUUGCAAACUUUUUGAUUAAGCAUCAUAGACUACAAUGAAAGCUCAGAGCUGUAAUGCCUCUAGCUCAUUUUUAGGCAGUUACCAUGCCAACUGUAAAAUGAUGAGCAAAAUGAAUACAAGUUUUUUUUGAAAUAGUGCAAAGUUAAUGCAAUUCCAAAGUUUUGGAACGCUUUAUUCUGUUGUUGAAAGAUUUAACAUGAUCCACAUAUAAACCUACCAAUGGUACCAGGAAUUCAUCAGCUGUCACUAAUUUAGUUGUGCUGACCUGCAGAGGUUUCACUCAAAGACUAAUGCAGCUGUCUUAGCUUUUGCAGAGUUUGGAAUUGCUAUAGAACUACAAGCAGACCUUCAAGCAAGGAAUCACUCCAGACUUCAGGCUAGAAAAAUGUAUGUUUAGUAGUGAAAGAGAAUCAUGAGAAUCUCUAAAAACUCCUGGAUAAGAUCUCCAUGAUGCUCCAUGAAAUUUCUGUAUACACAGAGAAACACAAAUGCAAACAAAUAACAAGUAUUCCAAAACCAAACCUUACAACAUUUGAAAAUCAGAAGUGAGGUUAACGUAGAAGACAUCUAACCAAAUUAGGACUGGCAGCAUGCCCAAAUACCCUGAUCUUUGUGUUGUGGUGACAUAGGGAAAUAGCAAUGCAAUUAGGAUGGGAAUGCAGUGCUGUUUGUAGUCACAAAGUUAAUGUAACUGAUUUUUUAAAAACACAUUAGAUAUUUUUUUCUCAUGUGGCAAAAUCUACAAUAUUUAGAUACCAUAGUUGCACAUUUCUGUAUAUUCAUAUAUUUGGGCCUUAUUUUCCAAAGGUGAGUUGUUUUCAGAAACUGGGGAUAGAGGAAUGAAGAAAAAAGUCUUUUCAGCUUCAAUCCCCUAGAAAACAGUGAAAGAAAUCAAUUCGAAAGAAGGAAGUUAUUUAUGGAAUUCUCCAGGAAAGAAUCAACUCUGAGUCUGCAAAGAGCAGUCAUUUUGGAUCACAAAUAUUAAAAAAAAAAAGUCAUUAAUAAUAAUAGUAAUAUUAACAAUAAUAUUAAUUUAUCAUUAAUCUCCUCCUUCUCCCUCUUCCCCCAGUGACAGGAAACAUAAGAACUUCAUGUAUUCUACCAUGUUUACUUCAAAACAAGGACUUUAAUUAAUAUUCAGCAGUCAGGCUCCUUUAAUAUUAGUUUAUCUUUUCAAUUUUGGCAUAUGCUAUAUGGUGUUGGAUGGUGGUCAGUGGAAUUACUGAGGUUUCCCUCUACAGGAGCAGAUCCAGGCCACAGGCUAGGCGUGGUCUCAGGUGGGUGGAUUUGGAUCAAAUUUACACAGUUGCAAAAAAUCCAGCUGCCUUUCUUUAUUCAUAGCUGGAGGUGGAGUAGGAAGAAGAGGAGGCAGUGGUGGUAAGUGGAGGACACCAAAUUGUGCAAUGCGUGUAGGAAGGCAGCCAACAUAAAGAGGAAAAAAAUGUGAGCAGCAGCUAGCACACAGGCUACUUUACACAAGUUAGAUGAAUGUUCAUCUGUGUCUUGCACCAGGUCAUAUAAAGCAAAAACAAGGGUGACAUUUCCAGCCAUACCCUUCUAUAAGAGUAGUUGUGGUUUAACAAUCCACAUAUGUGUGACAAUAGUUAAUUAACAGUCAGCCCUUUGUAGUGCCCACAGCCCAAUGCUUCUAUGUGUGUGUUUGGAGCCCUCUGUGCAUUCAUUUACCAAAGUCUCUGUACUUGAAAUUCAAAAUAAUCAGUUUACCCUUUGAUGAAUUAAUCCUCCUGCUCUCUUCCACAUCCCCUCUCCCAGAUCCCACAAGGCCUCAAAAAUUAGGCUUAUGGAAAAUUGCCAAACUGAAUUAAUUUAGGCCUGAAUUACUAAAGCGAUUGUAUCCUAGGAUUACCUCAGAGCACAGGACACUGUCCUCUUCUCACACCACACUGCCAUCAGUGUGAGUCUGCAGCUUCAGUGGUCUAAGCUAAAUUUUAUCCUCUGACAUAGGCCUGUAGAAAUGAGAGCAGAUUCUGGCCAUGGUUUUAAAUAUUUGAACAGGGUAAAAGCCAAGAAGGGUUGGAAAUUAUUUAGCCUACUAUUAGGGGAUAUAAUUAGACAUACUUGGGUAUAAUUAGAUUUGGAUUAAAUGAAGGGGGAAAAAAAAGCAAUGUGAAAAAACAACCUUGCUAACAGUGAGAUCCCUUAUAUGUGGGAAUAAGGCGAAAAUGUGUGAAAACCACAGCGGAAAUGGAGUAGGUGACAGGAUGGGUCUUUUAUCUCUAAUAUUGUGGCCAGCUUAUGCCUUUUGUUUGUGAACUAAGGAUAAAGAGAUGCCCUUGGAAGCUCACAAGCACAGUCCAUAGUUUAUGAUUGAGGAUGCCAUAGUGUCCAACAUGUCCCCAGCUGACCAGGGUAUGUUAACCAGGAUGCAUAAUUUCUCUCUAAACCAUUGUAGGUUUCCUUGCAUGAGACACAGUAUAUAUAAAGUAGGAUCAACAGUGAGCCUUUUUUUUUUACUGCUUCAGGAAAGGUGAGAUUGUUUAUCAGGAGAAAGUGUUAGCAGAAUGACAUAGGAAAGAAUGAUAGUGCCGCAUCAGGCAGCAACCCAGCAGAGAAAGUCCUGAGGCUUUUGUGGGGAUACACUGAGAAUUGAGGUUUUUUUAGUUCCACACAGCAAACCAUUCACAAGUUAGGCCACAACUUCUCAGUUGUAGUAACUGAGGUUUACAAAGGUCCACUGCAGAGUUUUUCUCAGAAUGUUAGCAAAAAUAAAAGCAAAACUAUUGAAAGAAGAUUAAGGUGGAAAAAUCAAGGAUUUAAAAUGUAGGUAAUUCAACCAACUUAAAUUCAACUUUUAUGCCAUCUAAUUCCACACUUUUUUGUGUUUUGAUAUGGUCUUUAAUUGCACAAUCACAUACUAUUUGGUGAAUAAUUCCAGACUCAGGGCCGAUUUGGGAUUGUGUGAACUAAAUAAGGCAUGAGACCACACACAGUGAAUAAAGUGGAUAGGCAGGAAUAUAGAACAGCUGCCUUGUUUACUGAGUACCACCCACGAAAUGAGGCAGUGAUUCUGCAGAAUUUUUUUUUUAAGUACAUGAUCAAUAUAAUUAAAUAAUCUCUGUGCAGAAGUACAAAGAAGAGCAGAGAGUCUAUACGGGCAAAUUGAGCCUCUCUCUAAAUCUGCCACUUAGUCAAAUCACACUUGUUGCUCUAUUUUUUUGCAGGUCCCAAGAAUGCCUUCUCUCAGUCUCCCCUUUCAAUGACUGCAGUGCAUUUCUGAUUUAGUUAAGCCUAAGACAACCUACCUUCAGUAUAACAGCUGGAAUUGCUUUCUCAGCCUGUUUUCCUUUCACACAGUGUUAUAAUGAGGGUGAAAUUUCAUGACUGUGUGACUAAGGACAUAUAUAUUCCAUCUAUAGAACAAAGUGCAUUUGAUCUGGCAUACAGAUAAUGAAUGUCACUUAGCACAAGCAGUUUUUGUGUUAAAUGUCAGAAUAUCAUUGAUUGUAAAACCAUUUCUUUUUCCACCCUCUGAAAUACAGAAAUCUUGUGAUGCAUCAUCUCCACAGAUAGCAUGAUACAUCACUUGAAAUUAUCACAGGAAAUUUUCCUAAUUCCAUUUGACCAGGAAUGUUUAGGGAGGAUCUGGAAAAGUUAGCAAACUUCCUACUGAAAGUGUAGGAAAAAAGUAGUGUUUUAAAAAGUAAAGAAACAUAGAAUCACAGAAUCAUAAGUUCAUUUGAAUUGGAAGGGACCCUUAAAGGUCAUCUAGUCCAGCUCCCUUGCAAUGAACAGGGACACCUACAGUUA